RNAcentral lists this ribosomal RNA (1980 nucleotides) under Escherichia coli. RNAcentral's name for it is "partial 23S ribosomal RNA". It matches the Rfam family "Bacterial large subunit ribosomal RNA", at positions 165 to 2167 of the family's 2925-position model. Lineage: Bacteria; Pseudomonadati; Pseudomonadota; Gammaproteobacteria; Enterobacterales; Enterobacteriaceae. The record is from RNAcentral.
CAUAGGUUAAUGAGGCGAACCGGGGGAACUGAAACAUCUAAGUACCCCGAGGAAAAGAAAUCAACCGAGAUUCCCCCAGUAGCGGCGAGCGAACGGGGAGCAGCCCAGAGCCUGAAUCAGUGUGUGUGUUAGUGGAAGCGUCUGGAAAGGCGCGCGAUACAGGGUGACAGCCCCGUACACAAAAAUGCACAUGCUGUGAGCUCGAUGAGUAGGGCGGGACACGUGGUAUCCUGUCUGAAUAUGGGGGGACCAUCCUCCAAGGCUAAAUACUCCUGACUGACCGAUAGUGAACCAGUACCGUGAGGGAAAGGCGAAAAGAACCCCGGCGAGGGGAGUGAAAAAGAACCUGAAACCGUGUACGUACAAGCAGUGGGAGCACAGAGCAAUCUGUGUGACUGCGUACCUUUUGUAUAAUGGGUCAGCGACUUAUAUUCUGUAGCAAGGUUAACCGAAUAGGGGAGCCGAAGGGAAACCGAGUCUUAACUGGGCGUUAAGUUGCAGGGUAUAGACCCGAAACCCGGUGAUCUAGCCAUGGGCAGGUUGAAGGUUGGGUAACACUAACUGGAGGACCGAACCGACUAAUGUUGAAAAAUUAGCGGAUGACUUGUGGCUGGGGGUGAAAGGCCAAUCAAACCGGGAGAUAGCUGGUUCUCCCCGAAAGCUAUUUAGGUAGCGCCUCGUGAAUUCAUCUCCGGGGGUAGAGCACUGUUUCGGCAAGGGGGUCAUCCCGACUUACCAACCCGAUGCAAACUGCGAAUACCGGAGAAUGUUAUCACGGGAGACACACGGCGGGUGCUAACGUCCGUCGUGAAGAGGGAAACAACCCAGACCGCCAGCUAAGGUCCCAAAGUCAUGGUUAAGUGGGAAACGAUGUGGGAAGGCCCAGACAGCCAGGAUGUUGGCUUAGAAGCAGCCAUCAUUUAAAGAAAGCGUAAUAGCUCACUGGUCGAGUCGGCCUGCGCGGAAGAUGUAACGGGGCUAAACCAUGCACCGAAGCUGCGGCAGCGACGCUUAUGCGUUGUUGGGUAGGGGAGCGUUCUGUAAGCCUGCGAAGGUGUGCUGUGAGGCAUGCUGGAGGUAUCAGAAGUGCGAAUGCUGACAUAAGUAACGAUAAAGCGGGUGAAAAGCCCGCUCGCCGGAAGACCAAGGGUUCCUGUCCAACGUUAAUCGGGGCAGGGUGAGUCGACCCCUAAGGCGAGGCCGAAAGGCGUAGUCGAUGGGAAACAGGUUAAUAUUCCUGUACUUGGUGUUACUGCGAAGGGGGGACGGAGAAGGCUAUGUUGGCCGGGCGACGGUUGUCCCGGUUUAAGCGUGUAGGCUGGUUUUCCAGGCAAAUCCGGAAAAUCAAGGCUGAGGCGUGAUGACGAGGCACUACGGUGCUGAAGCAACAAAUGCCCUGCUUCCAGGAAAAGCCUCUAAGCAUCAGGUAACAUCAAAUCGUACCCCAAACCGACACAGGUGGUCAGGUAGAGAAUACCAAGGCGCUUGAGAGAACUCGGGUGAAGGAACUAGGCAAAAUGGUGCCGUAACUUCGGGAGAAGGCACGCUGAUAUGUAGGUGAAGUCCCUCGCGGAUGGAGCUGAAAUCAGUCGAAGAUACCAGCUGGCUGCAACUGUUUAUUAAAAACACAGCACUGUGCAAACACGAAAGUGGACGUAUACGGUGUGACGCCUGCCCGGUGCCGGAAGGUUAAUUGAUGGGGUUAGCGCAAGCGAAGCUCUUGAUCGAAGCCCCGGUAAACGGCGGCCGUAACUAUAACGGUCCUAAGGUAGCGAAAUUCCUUGUCGGGUAAGUUCCGACCUGCACGAAUGGCGUAAUGAUGGCCAGGCUGUCUCCACCCGAGACUCAGUGAAAUUGAACUCGCUGUGAAGAUGCAGUGUACCCGCGGCAAGACGGAAAGACCCCGUGAACCUUUACUAUAGCUUGACACUGAACAUUGAGCCUUGAUGUGUAGGAUAGGUGGGAGGCUUUGAAGUGUGG